GAAGGGGCUUACACAGCCCUCCAUAUGGAAAUGGAGAUAAUCCAGGCCAGCUUUGUGUCUCGGCUCCGGCAGGGGAGCCGCGGGGGCGGGAGGGGACCCGAGGCUCCAAAGAGACCCCUGCAGCCGGCUCUCAGGCGCGCGCUGGCAGCGGGCAGGGCCGCGCGGAUUCUGCGCCCAGACGCUCGGAGGAGGCGCCGCGCCUCCUCCCCCACCCGGCGGCCACCCUCUUUCUUCAGCUCGGUCCCCACCAGGGAUGCGAGGCCGGCUGGGGCAGGAAGGGCUCGGGCAGCGGCACAAAGGAGAGGGGAUUAUGGAAUUUUUAUUUUGAAAUGAAAGCGCCCAUCUUGCCACAAACUCAUGGCGACCAUAAGGACAGGUGGACGCAGCCGAGAGAAGCUGGACAGGACAGAUUGAGUCCUUUGGUCCAGCUCGCCAUAUUCCAAGUGCCCAGUAGCCAAAGGGACACUGCAGGGGACAGCGUGGAAGAACGUUUCCAAGGCUGGAGAGAGUUGUGUCACACAGCAGGGCUGGGGGCUCAAGGACCCAGCCUGGAAGACCCCCUUCCUCGGAGCACUGGUUAAGGGGGCAGGUGGGCAGCCCCUGGACACAGCAAGAGACAGACGGGGCUGAGGCCCCAGGGACCCGUGGGGUCAGCUCCAGCCUUGGCCCCAUGAGGCUCACCACAGAGCCUCCUCCCAGCCCCGGGCCCUUCUGCACCUCUCAGAUUGGGGGGUGCCCAGUUUCAGUUCAAAGGCCUCUUCUCCCCCACCCCCAUUGCCCUGUCCCCAGAAAUCCAGCCCGACCCCUGCUGUGUGCCGACGCCUGGUUUAGAAACAUCCCAUCGAGAUACAUCAGGAGAAGGGAAGAAGUAGGUGACAUCAGAAUCACAGAUUGUCACCCAAUAUUUCCCUGAGUCUUCUUGACCUUUCUAAUCCAAACUUUUCCAGCUAACUCGAGUGACUAGUUUCACGAGACUGUACUGGGCGUUUCUUCCACCUCCCUCCCACGAAGAGAAAAACAAGCCAGAGCUGGAAGCACAGUUGUUGACAGCUGUGUGACCUCAGGCAAGUCACUUGACCUGUCUGAGCCUCGGUUGCUCUGUCUGUGAAAUGGGAUUCCCAGUGAAAGAGCGCUCGUAGAGUCCGUGGAGUGACAUAGGUAAAGUGCUUGGGACGUGGUUGGUGGUAAAAGUCAGUGAAAUGUUGUUGAAGAGAUUAAGGAAGAGUGUGUGGAUACCCUUUGUGGAAUAUAGAGAGGGACAGAAACAAUACGAAUAGCAACGAGAACUGAUAAAUUUCACAUCUGAGGGGAUGCCACUGUCAGGCACCCAAAUCCCAGAUCCCCAAAACCUCUUGUCCCCCUCAUCAUUUCAAGGUUUUGUGGUAGACAUCAUUGGUGUUCAAUACCCAGGUGUCUACUGCUGGGUUCUGGGCAAGGGGCAGGGGUCACAAGUCCUCUUUCUCUUGAGCUUAGGACUGAUGAUUUGUCUAGUUUGGGCCAAAUUAAAAAUGAACAAAAGUAAUUGUACGAUUUCCUGGCCAAGCAUUACAUCAGUGGCACUGAACUCUCCAGCCCUAUCUUUCUCUGUGGCAGGAAUUAUGAGAAUAUAUGUUGAGACAGCCAUGUCAUAGCAUGAUAUUGUCACUCAAGCUGGGUCCCCGAGGGACUCCAAUAGGCACAGGUGCACCUGUUGAUUUUCGAAGGACAAGUGAGAUGAGCAAGAAAUGAACCUCCCCUGUUCCAGACAAUGAGAUGACCGGGAUGUUUGUUACAUAGCAUGACCCAGUUUAUCCUGACUGAUAUAACCCAGUGAGUCUGCCCCAAAGACUAGGUUGGGUGUUAGAAGCAGAAUUUAUUUUUUUAUUUUUAUUUUUUUUUAAAGAGAGAGUGAGUGAGAGAGGGAGAGAGAGAAAGAGAGAGAGAAUUUUAAUAUUUAU
This is a non-coding RNA of Ictidomys tridecemlineatus (thirteen-lined ground squirrel), 1937 nucleotides long. NCBI's taxonomy places the organism in Eukaryota, Metazoa, Chordata, Mammalia, Rodentia, Sciuridae. The record is from RefSeq and is a predicted model, not a curated record.